CCCUGUGGACUUCUUAAUAUGCCGGUCACAUCUUGUGAAGGAGUCAGUCUGAGACAGGACACAGCAUGGCCAUGAGGGCCCCUGCUAAGCUCCUGGUGCUCCUGCUCCUCUGGCUCCCAGGUGUGAGAUGUGACAUCCAGUUGAUACAGCCUACCUCCUCCCUGUCUGCAUCUCUAGGAGACAGAGUCACCAUCACCUGCAGUGCCAGUCAGAGCAUUGGCAUAGGUUUAGCCUGGUACCAACAGAAACCAGGGCAAGCUCCUAAACUCCUCAUCUAUCAUGCAAACAAUUUGGAAUCUGGGGUUCCCUCAAGGUUCAGUGGCAGUGGAUCUGGCACAGAUUUCACUCUCACCAUCAGCAGCCUGGAGCCUGAAGAUUUUGCCACUUAUUACUGUCAGCAGUAUAAUGGUUCCCCUCCCACAGUAAGACAGGCCAUGACAAAAACCUCCCAGGGAGCAGAAGUGGGAGGCUGGGCUGCCCCAGCUCCUCCUCCUGCUGCCUCCACCUGCUGAGGGCACUACCCAGAG
This is a non-coding RNA of Marmota monax (woodchuck), 527 nucleotides long. NCBI's taxonomy places the organism in Eukaryota, Metazoa, Chordata, Mammalia, Rodentia, Sciuridae. The record is from the annotation of a RefSeq genome assembly.